RNAcentral lists this ribosomal RNA (253 nucleotides) under uncultured bacterium. Its description in RNAcentral is "partial 16S ribosomal RNA". It matches the Rfam family "Bacterial small subunit ribosomal RNA", at positions 524 to 776 of the family's 1533-position model. The record is from RNAcentral.
UACGUAGGGUGCAAGCGUUGUCCGGAAUUAUUGGGCGUAAAGAGCUCGUAGGCGGUCUGUCACGUCGGCUGUGAAAUCCCGAGGCUCAACCCCGGGCCUGCAGUCGAUACGGGCAGACUAGAGUGCGGUAGGGGAGACUGGAAUUCCUGGUGUGGCGGUGAAAUGCGCAGAUAUCAGGAGGAACACCGGUGGCGAAGGCGGGUCUCUGGGCCGUAACUGACGCUGAGGAGCGAAAGCGUGGGGAGCGAACAGG